RNAcentral lists this long non-coding RNA (485 nucleotides) under Crocodylus porosus (Australian saltwater crocodile). Its description in RNAcentral is "lncRNA (ENSCPRG00005017831.1)". The record is from RNAcentral. Lineage: Eukaryota; Metazoa; Chordata; Crocodylia; Crocodylidae.
AGAGCCAAUGAAGUAGAUUUGUGUCUCCCACAUGACUGUGUUUCCCCUGUCUUUCACAUGGGCAGUAUUUAGUUCAAUUCAGAACUGCAGAUAGUACAGCCUGCUUUGCAGCAAUGGGAUGUCUGAACACAAGUGGCUGACUUCCGAGUGACUUUAUGAAGCACUUUUAUACUUUCCUCCUGCAUUAAACUGGGAUUCUGCAUUCUUGGCACUCCCUCAUCAGACUCUUCUCUGCUGCAGGGAACUGAGUAUUUAGUACAGCUUAGCAUUAUGAAACUGAAUCUGAGCAGAAUUGCAGACCAGCAAAUUAAAAGAGGCUGAAGGCAAUUUGACCAGCAUCUUCUAUGUUCAGUCCACAGAGGUUGAUGAAGCACCAAGUCUCCAAGAGACAAAGGAACACCAUAUGCAGACAAAGUAUGCAGGUAUACUUCGCAGACAGUAGGAGAGGAAUGACUUGGUUAAUUUCACGGAACAACUCGUUUUGA